UUGACCUCGGAUCAGGUAGGGAUACCCGCUGAACUUAAGCAUAUCAAUAAGCGGAGGAAAAGAAACCAACAGGGAUUGCCUUAGUAACGGCGAGUGAAGCGGCAAUAGCUCAAAUUUGAAAGCUGGCGUCUUCGACGUCCGCGUUGUAAUUUGUAGAGGAUGCUUCGGCGAAGACUCCUGCCUAAGUCCCCUGGAACGGGGCGUCAUAGAGGGUGAGAAUCCCGUAUGUGGCGGGCAGUCUAAGCCAUGUGAAGCUCCUUCGACGAGUCGAGUUGUUUGGGAAUGCAGCUCUAAAUGGGAGGUAAAUUUCUUCUAAAGCUAAAUAUUGGCCAGAGACCGAUAGCGCACAAGUAGAGUGAUCGAAAGAUGAAAAGCACUUUGGAAAGAGAGUUAAAAAGUACGUGAAAUUGUUGAAAGGGAAGCGCUUGCAACCAGACUCGCUCGUAGUUGCUCAGCCGGCCUCUUGGCCGGUGUACUCUUCUACGAUCGGGCCAGCAUCAGUUCGGGCGGCAGGAUAAAGGUGUCGGGAAUGUAGCACCCUUCGGGGUGUGUUAUAGCCCGGCGCGGAAUGCUGCCAGCCUGGACUGAGGAUCUCGCUUCGGCAAGGAUGCUGGCGUAAUGGUUGUAAGCGGCCCGUCUUGAAACACGGACCAAGGAGUCUAACAUCUAUGCGAGUGUUUGGGUGUCAAACCCAUGCGCGUAAUGAAAGUGAACGGAGGUGGGAACCCCUCACGGGGUGCACCAUCGACCGAUCCUGAUGUCUUCGGAUGGAUUUGAGUAAGAGCAUAGCUGUUGGGACCCGAAAGAUGGUGAACUAUGCCUGAAUAGGGUGAAGCCAGAGGAAACUCUGGUGGAGGCUCGCAGCGGUUCUGACGUGCAAAUCGAUCGUCAAAUUUGGGUAUAGGGGCGAAAGACUAAUCGAACCAUCUAGUAGCUGGUUCCUGCCGAAGU
Molecule: ribosomal RNA, 951 nt
Filed under: Phyllosticta capitalensis
Lineage: Eukaryota; Fungi; Ascomycota; Dothideomycetes; Botryosphaeriales; Phyllostictaceae
Description: eukaryotic LSU rRNA
Rfam family: Eukaryotic large subunit ribosomal RNA
Source: RNAcentral